AUUGAACGCUGGCGGCAUGCCUUACACAUGCAAGUCGAACGGCAGCGCGGGAGCAAUCCUGGCGGCGAGUGGCGAACGGGUGAGUAAUAUAUCGGAACGUGCCCAGUAGUGGGGGAUAGCCCGGCGAAAGCCGGAUUAAUACCGCAUGAGACCUGAGGGUGAAAGCGGGGGAGUCGCAAGACCUCGCGCGAUUGGAGCGGCCGAUAUCAGAUUAGGUAGUUGGUGGGGUAAAGGCUCACCAAGCCGACGAUCUGUAGCUGGUCUGAGAGGACGACCAGCCACACUGGGACUGAGACACGGCCCAGACUCCUACGGGAGGCAGCAGUGGGGAAUAUAGGACAAUGGGGGAAACCCUGAUCCAGCGAUGCCGCGUGAGUGAUGAAGGCCUUCGGUUGUAAGACUCUUUGUCACGCGACGAUGAUGACGGUAGCGUGAG
This 436-nucleotide ribosomal RNA is filed under the name uncultured bacterium. RNAcentral's name for it is "bacterial SSU rRNA". It matches the Rfam family "Bacterial small subunit ribosomal RNA", at positions 29 to 484 of the family's 1533-position model. The record is from RNAcentral.